UAAACGACUCUCGGCAACGGAUAUCUCGGCUCUCGCAUCGAUGAAGAACGCAGCGAAAUGCGAUACUUGGUGUGAAUUGCAGGAUCCCGUGAACCAUCGAGUUUUUGAACGCAAGUUGCGCCCGAAGCCUUUUGGCCGAGGGCACGUCUGCCUGGGUGUCACUC
RNAcentral lists this ribosomal RNA (164 nucleotides) under Euphorbia georgei. Its description in RNAcentral is "5.8S ribosomal RNA". It matches the Rfam family "5.8S ribosomal RNA". Rfam says of the family: 5.8S ribosomal RNA (5.8S rRNA) is a component of the large subunit of the eukaryotic ribosome. It is transcribed by RNA polymerase I as part of the 45S precursor that also contains 18S and 28S rRNA. Lineage: Eukaryota; Viridiplantae; Streptophyta; Magnoliopsida; Malpighiales; Euphorbiaceae. The record is from RNAcentral.